Molecule: unclassified non-coding RNA, 254 nt
Filed under: uncultured fungus
Lineage: Eukaryota; Fungi
Description: partial contains 5.8S ribosomal RNA, internal transcribed spacer 2, and large subunit ribosomal RNA
Source: RNAcentral
AACGCACAUUGCGCCCUUUGGUAUUCCGAGGGGCAUGCCUGUUCGAGCGUCAUUACACCCCUCAAGCACAGCUUGUUGUUGGGCACCUGCCCCCUAAACCGGGACAUGCCUCAAAGUCAAUGACGGCGUCGCGACCGAACUUCAAGCGUACCAAGUUUUACAACCACGCUUUGGAAGAUGCGGCCGGGGCUGGUCUACAACCAUAAAUUUUUCAGGUUGACCUCGGAUCAGGUAGGGAUACCCGCUGAACUUAA